UGCCUGGCUCCCUGUAUGCCAC
This 22-nucleotide non-coding RNA is filed under the name Arabidopsis thaliana (thale cress). The record is from RNAcentral. Lineage: Eukaryota; Viridiplantae; Streptophyta; Magnoliopsida; Brassicales; Brassicaceae.